Molecule: ribosomal RNA, 492 nt
Filed under: uncultured bacterium
Lineage: Bacteria
Description: partial 16S ribosomal RNA
Rfam family: Bacterial small subunit ribosomal RNA
Source: RNAcentral
AGUGAACGCUGGCGGUAGGCCUAACACAUGCAAGUCGAACGGCAGCACAGUAAGAGCUUGCUCUUACGGGUGGCGAGUGGCGGACGGGUGAGGAAUACAUCGGAAUCUACUUUUUCGUGGGGGAUAACGUAGGGAAACUUACGCUAAUACCGCAUACGACCUACGGGUGAAAGCAGGGGAUCUUCGGACCCUGCGCGAUUGAAUGAGCCGAUGUCGGAUUAGCUAGUUGGCGGGGUAAAGGCCCACCAAGGCGACGAUCCGUAGCUGGCCUGAGAGGAUGAUCAGCCACACUGGGACUGAGACACGGUCCAGACUCCUACGGGAGGCAGCAGUGGGGAAUAUUGGACAAUGGGCGCAAGCCUGAUCCAGCCAUACCGCGUGGGUGAAGAAGGCCUUCGGGUUGUAAAGCCCUUUUGUUGGGAAAGAAAAGCAGCAGGUUAAUACCCCGCUGUUCUGACGGUACCCAAAGAAUAAGCACCGGCUAACUUCGUG